AUUAAAAUCUCCUUCACAGGUCACUGAUGCAUGCUGUGAAGCGUGGUAUUAUGGAUAAAAAACCAAUAGCUCUUUUCUGCCCUCCUCUUUACCACCUGGGGACACUCUACCAGAGUUUUGUGAGCAUGGUGUCGAGUGCAUACAUGAGUUGGUGUCUCAAGGUAGAUACGAGGCUGCCAUAUCUGCUCUGGGACACAUCACACCACUUUUCUUCUCCCAGCCUGAAGACAUCAUUACCAGUACCAGGUUUAUGCUUGCCAUACAAAAGUGUUUGACUGCAGACCAGACAUAUAUAACUAUGGCAAAGAGUCUUGUGGCCUCCAAUUUCCCAGGCAAGAUUCUCAGCACUUGCUGCCAUGAUUGUAUAUCACAUCAGAAAUU
Molecule: long non-coding RNA, 381 nt
Organism: Homarus americanus (American lobster)
Lineage: Eukaryota; Metazoa; Arthropoda; Malacostraca; Decapoda; Nephropidae
Exons: 3
Source: RefSeq, a predicted model, not a curated record